Molecule: RNase P RNA, 410 nt
Filed under: Gemmata obscuriglobus
Lineage: Bacteria; Pseudomonadati; Planctomycetota; Planctomycetia; Gemmatales; Gemmataceae
Description: RNaseP_bact_a
Rfam family: Bacterial RNase P class A
About the family: Ribonuclease P (RNase P) is a ubiquitous endoribonuclease, found in archaea, bacteria and eukarya as well as chloroplasts and mitochondria. Its best characterised activity is the generation of mature 5'-ends of tRNAs by cleaving the 5'-leader elements of precursor-tRNAs. Cellular RNase Ps are ribonucleoproteins.
Source: RNAcentral
UCGGUUUCUGAUCUCUGCCCUCUGGGCGGGGGGAGGAAAGUCCGGGCUUCACAGGGCGCGGUGGUGGAUAACGUCCACCCUCGGUAACGGUGCGGGCGUCCCGACUCGCACCGCCAACGGGCGGGAAAGUGCAACAGAAAGUGUACCGCCGCCCGGUUGCGAAAUCGGGCGGUAAGGGUGAAAAGGUGCGGGGCUUCGGCCCUUAAUGUAAGAGCGCACCAGCGGCGGGGUGACCCGCCGGCUCGGCAAACCCCACCGGAAGCAAGGUCAAGCAGAGGACAGGGGCGGCCCGCCCCGUUACGAUCCUCGGGUAGACCGCUCGACCCCGCCGGCAACGGCGGGGCUAGAUAAAUGACCGUCACCCGCCGCAAGGCGGGGGACAAAACCCGGCUUACAGGCCGGCCGACGAA